CAAAAACAUCACCUCAUGAACACUCAUAAGAGGCCUGGCCUGCCCAGUGAUAAUUUUAACGGCCGCGGUAUCCUAACCGUGCAAAGGUAGCGUAAUCACCUGUUUCUUAAUUAGAGACCUGUAUGAAUGGCAUCACGAGAGUCACACUGUCUCCUCUUUCAAGUCAGUGAAACUAAUCUUUCUGUGAAAAAGCAGAAAUUCUUAAACAAGACGAGAAGACCCUUUGGAGCUUAAGACCAAUAAAAUUUAUGCCUCCUACUUUACACACACCACCCGCAAUACAAAUUUUAAUAGUCUUCAGUUGGGGCAACUACGGAGUAAAAAUAACCCUCCAAGAUGAACGGAAUUUUCCUAAACUAAAAGCCACAGCUUUACGUAUCAACAAAGUGACAUUAUUAGACCCAAUAAAUUUGAUUAACGAACUAAGUUACCCUAGGGAUAACAGCGCAAUCCACCCUAAGAGUCCCUAUCGACGAGUGGGCUUACGACCUCGAUGUUGGAUCAAGGCAUCCCAGUGGUGCAACCGCUACUAAAGGUUCGUUUGUUCAACGAUUAAAGCCUUACGUGAUCUGAGUUCCAGACCGGA
RNAcentral lists this ribosomal RNA (586 nucleotides) under Eleutherodactylus nitidus (shiny peeping frog). RNAcentral describes it as "partial large subunit ribosomal RNA". It matches the Rfam family "Bacterial large subunit ribosomal RNA", at positions 1808 to 2620 of the family's 2925-position model. Lineage: Eukaryota; Metazoa; Chordata; Amphibia; Anura; Eleutherodactylidae. The record is from RNAcentral.